RNAcentral lists this ribosomal RNA (433 nucleotides) under uncultured bacterium. RNAcentral describes it as "partial 16S ribosomal RNA". It matches the Rfam family "Bacterial small subunit ribosomal RNA", at positions 29 to 507 of the family's 1533-position model. The record is from RNAcentral.
AACGAACGCUGGCGGCAUGCCUAACACAUGCAAGUCGAACGAGACCUUCGGGUCUAGUGGCGCACGGGUGCGUAACGCGUGGGAACCUGCCUUUAGGCUCGGAAUAACUCAGAGAAAUUUGAGCUAAUACCGGAUGAUGUCUUCGGACCAAAGAUUUAUCGCCUUUAGAUGGGCCCGCGUUGGAUUAGCUAGUUGGUGGGGUAAAGGCCUACCAAGGCGACGAUCCAUAGCUGGUCUGAGAGGAUGAUCAGCCACACUGGGACUGAGACACGGCCCAGACUCCUACGGGAGGCAGCAGUGGGGAAUAUUGGACAAUGGGCGAAAGCCUGAUCCAGCAAUGCCGCGUGAGUGAUGAAGGCCUUAGGGUUGUAAAGCUCUUUUACCCGAGAUGAUAAUGACAGUAGCGGGAGAAUAAGCUCCGGCUAACUCCGUG